Molecule: ribosomal RNA, 539 nt
Filed under: uncultured bacterium
Lineage: Bacteria
Description: bacterial SSU rRNA
Rfam family: Bacterial small subunit ribosomal RNA
Source: RNAcentral
AGAGUUUGAUCAUGGCUCAGAACGAAUGCUGGCGGCGUGGAUAAGACAUGCAAGUCGAACGGGAUUUGUUUUUGUAGCAAUACAAGGCAAGUCUAGUGGCGUAAGGGUGCGUAACACGUGGGGAAUCUGCCGAAAAGUGGGGGAUAGCUCGCCGAAAGGCGAAUUAAUACCGCAUGUAGUUAGCGAGGUCAUCCUCGUAAUACCAAAGCCGGGGCAACCUGGCGCUUUUUGAUGACCCCGCGGCCUAUCAGCUAGUUGGUGAGGUAACGGCUCACCAAGGCUAUGACGGGUAGCUGGUCUGAGAGGACGACCAGCCACACUGGAACUGAGACACGGUCCAGACACCUACGGGUGGCAGCAGUCGAGAAUUUUUCUCAAUGGGGGAAACCCUGAAGGAGCGACGCCGCGUGGAGGAUGAAGGUCUUCGGAUUGUAAACUCCUGUCAUUUGGGAACAAUGUGCAUGGAUUAACUGUCGAUGCAUUGAUAGUACCAGAAGAGGAAGAGACGGCUAACUCUGUGCCAGCAGCCGCGGUAAUUC